This 467-nucleotide ribosomal RNA is filed under the name uncultured bacterium. Its description in RNAcentral is "partial 16S ribosomal RNA". It matches the Rfam family "Bacterial small subunit ribosomal RNA", at positions 28 to 507 of the family's 1533-position model. The record is from RNAcentral.
GACGAACGCUGGCGGCGUGUUUAACACAUGCAAGUCGAACGGAAAGGCCCUGCUUUUGUGGGGUGCUCGAGUGGCGAACGGGUGAGUAACACGUGAGUAACCUGCCCUUGACUUUGGGAUAACUUCAGGAAACUGGGGCUAAUACCGGAUAGGAGCUCCUGCUGCAUGGUGGGGGUUGGAAAGUUUCGGCGGUUGGGGAUGGACUCGCGGCUUAUCAGCUUGUUGGUGGGGUAGUGGCUUACCAAGGCUUUGACGGGUAGCCGGCCUGAGAGGGUGAUCGGCCACAUUGGGACUGAGAUACGGCCCAGACUCCUACGGGAGGCAGCAGUGGGGAAUAUUGCACAAUGGGCGGAAGCCGAUGCAGCAACGCCGCGUGCGGGAUGACGGCCUUCGGGUUGUAAACCGCUUUCGCCUGUGACGAAGCGUGAGUGACGGUAAUGGGUAAAGAAGCACCGGCUAACUACGUG